This is a long non-coding RNA of Alexandromys fortis (reed vole), 770 nucleotides long. RefSeq lists it as uncharacterized. The transcript has 7 exons. NCBI's taxonomy places the organism in Eukaryota, Metazoa, Chordata, Mammalia, Rodentia, Cricetidae. The record is from RefSeq and is a predicted model, not a curated record.
CAGAAAUGCAAACCAGACUUCCAGGAAAUUAAUUCUGGUGUCUCUGAGGAGCACCAUCGAAGGCUUGCCCCUGGGGUGAGCUAAAGCUGAAGAGAAUGCUUUGGAGGAUAAAUUCCAGGCUGACCCCUUGGAAAUGAGUGGAGCUGUAUGUCUUGCCGAGCACAUCGCCUCAGAAUGAGUGCACCUGGGAGAUUAUGCGGGGAAUUGAAGAUGAACAUCAAUUUACUUGGGCCUGAAAAUAAAAGUUUCAUGGCAAGAAAAAUCAGUAAUGCGAAUCUUCCUUCGAACUCGGAGGUCUGAGGACAUUGAGGGAAAAUAUUGAGAGUCAUGCCUGCAGGUCGCUGUCAUUGUCCCUGAAAUAGUUUUUGAAUCCUACUAUCAGAAAAUAAUGAUCUUGGGGUUGAGGAGAUGACUAGCAGAGCAAAAUAAAAUGGAGAAAAGAAUUUUCUUAGGCUGUGAAGGGCGCAUCUGCUGUGGACGCACAAGGUCAAGGCUGGAGAGAAUCUUAUUUUCUGUGUGAAUCCAUGGCUGUUUUGCAUUUUGAGUAUAGAAGGAUAUCCAGAAGCUACCCUGAAUCAUGGAGAUCCUAUGGGUAUGGUUUAUGAGCUCCAUGGGUCAACCCAAGGACCAGCUACAGGCCUGAGUGGUAGGUCUCCACUGUGGCUCAGUUUCAAACAAUUUGCUAACCUUCAAGACGUUACUUGGGUCUUGUCUACAGCAUCACACACAGAUACAGGAUAAGACUGCCCCUUGACUGAUGACCCACACAC